Molecule: ribosomal RNA, 304 nt
Filed under: uncultured eukaryote
Lineage: Eukaryota
Description: partial 18S ribosomal RNA
Rfam family: Eukaryotic small subunit ribosomal RNA
Source: RNAcentral
CCCUUAGAUGUCCUGAGCCGCACGCGUGCUACAAUGACACAUUCAACGAGUAUUUCCUGGUCCGACAGGAUCUGGGUAAUCUUUUUAGUGUGUGUCGUGUUAGGGAUAGAUCUUUGUAAUUAUGGAUCUUGAACGAGGAAUUCCUAGUAAGCGCAAGUCAUCAGCUUGUGCUGAUUACGUCCCUGCAAAAUGUACACACCGCCCGUCGCUAUUGCCGAUUGAGUGCUCAGGUGAACCUUCUUGAUUGUUGCAAAACGAAAAAUUAAGUAAACCUUAGCACUUAGAGGGAAUAAAANUCGUAACA